Molecule: ribosomal RNA, 364 nt
Filed under: uncultured bacterium
Lineage: Bacteria
Description: bacterial SSU rRNA
Rfam family: Bacterial small subunit ribosomal RNA
Source: RNAcentral
AACGAACGCUGGCGGCAUGCCUAACACAUGCAAGUCGAACGAGACCUUCGGGUCUAGUGGCGCACGGGUGCGUAACGCGUGGGAACCUGCCUUUAGGUUCGGAAUAACUCAGAGAAAUUUGAGCUAAUACCGGAUAAUGUCUUCGGACCAAAGAUUUAUCGCCUUUAGAUGGGCCCGCGUUGGAUUAGCUAGUUGGUGGGGUAAAGGCCUACCAAGGCGACGAUCCAUAGCUGGUCUGAGAGGAUGAUCAGCCACACUGGGACUGAGACACGGCCCAGACUCCUACGGGAGGCAGCAGUGGGGAAUAUUGGACAAUGGGCGAAAGCCUGAUCCAGCAAUAGCCGCGUGAGUGAUGAAGGCCUUA